This 1181-nucleotide long non-coding RNA is filed under the name Capra hircus (goat). RNAcentral describes it as "lncRNA (ENSCHIG00010003677.1)". The record is from RNAcentral. Lineage: Eukaryota; Metazoa; Chordata; Mammalia; Artiodactyla; Bovidae.
UUUUCCAAGCACUUCACGUGCGUUAAUUUAUUAAUCCUUCAACAACACCAUGAGCAGGUAUCCUUUUUAAGUCCAUUUUACAGAUGAGAACUUGGAAGCAUUGAGUGUUUCUGUAACUUUCCCAGAGCGGAUCGUGAACUUAGCAGUUUGGUGGAGAGAGCUGGCAAAAACUGGCUUCUUCGCCUCACCCUUGGCGAGGGACAGGGAAGGGGAGCCUCCAGGAAUGGGGCAGGAGCAGCCGUGUCAUAUUAGGCUGGAGUCGCCGCACGAUCUGGGGAGGUGGUGGAAGGUGAGGAUGCCCGGCGUCCUCGCCGGGUUGCAGGUCUUCUCGUCUCCGUUCCGCGCCUCUCACACCUCUGUUCCUUUUUCUGUUACCGGUCUCUCACACAACCCUUUCUCAGCUUCCCUCUGACCUCUCAGGCGCGAAAGUCUGGCCCCAAAGUGCAGGGGCGGGCGGGCCGCGUCCCCAGGGCGCGCACAGAGCCCUCUCCCCAUCUUUCUCUUCUUUCCUGGAGCGGCGGGAGCCCCCGCGUAACCCGCCCGGCGGGCAGACGGAGCCAGUGAAGACCCCAGCGGACAAAUUAGCCUCGCCUUCGAUCGCUCUUUUCCGAUCAGGUCAGGUUUCCCUCCGCCCUGUGACGGCGCUUCCACACCCGCCCGGCUCCCCGGGUUCCCCCGCGGGGUCAAGGUUCGCCGGGCUCCGCCUGGCGCCUCCGGAGGGGCUUCCCUUCUGCUGCGUUCCGGCCCGGGAGCUCGCCCCACCCCUCGGACUUUGGGGAGGAUCAUCUCCGAGAGAGGGUUCCGCGCCGGUCCCUGGCUCCUCCAGGGAGUCCUCCCCACUGUUGCUUCCGGUCCUCAACGCGUGGAGACUUGUCUCUAAAAAAACAUCAGUUCUCUGCUCCAUCCUUAGGCCCAAUCCGACCCAGGCAAACUGGUACCGAAAUAGUACUCCUUCUUUUUUGAGUUUGUUUCAGAAUUUCACACACACACAAAUUCUACUGCUCAUCUUGGUAAAAUCAGAAUUUCAUUGGACUUCUUUAUACAUAGUUAGGAUUUAAUAUUGAUUCUACUUUGAAUUACAUCGGGAGUGGGGACCACCAUAAUUUCAAGAGCCCUCUGCCCGAAUCCCACUCCUGAGGCCACUCUCUCUUUCCUAUAUUCACAACCCCCCUGCCCUCAUC